This 253-nucleotide ribosomal RNA is filed under the name uncultured bacterium. RNAcentral describes it as "partial 16S ribosomal RNA". It matches the Rfam family "Bacterial small subunit ribosomal RNA", at positions 524 to 776 of the family's 1533-position model. The record is from RNAcentral.
UACGGAGGGUGCGAGCGUUAAUCGGAAUUACUGGGCGUAAAGCGCGCGUAGGCGGUUUGUUAAGUCAGCUGUGAAAGCCCCGGGCUCAACCUGGGAACUGCAGUUGAUACUGGCCGACUGGAGUACGAGAGAGGGAGGUAGAAUUCCAUGUGUAGCGGUGAAAUGCGUAGAUAUAUGGAGGAGUACCGGUGGCGAAGGCGGCCUCCUGGCUCGAUACUGACGCUGAGGUGCGAAAGCGUGGGGAGCAAACAGG